GUCGCUAUUUUUUUAUUUUAAAAAUAAAAGGUUUCUUUUAACGCUUAAGAAUUCCGACAACAAUGGCUCUAUACAGGACUUCUUUGAUGCUUGUUCUCGUCGCUGUUUGCGCCCUCAUGGGUUCUGCCAUCGCAGCUGACGCCCCAGCUCCAAGCCCCACCUCGGGAACGGGCUCGAUCUCUAUCUCCUUCGUCUCUGUUUUCGUCGCCGCCGCUAUGGCUCUGUUUUUCGGAUCUACUCUCAGGAUCUGAAGAUGCUAUAUUACCUCUUGUGGUGGCCUGUCCUUGGGUUGGCGGCUUUGGAUGUUGUAGAAAUGGUGCUCGGUGUUUCAUUUAUAUACAUAUAUGUAUGUUUGUUUUAAAUUUGGUUUGGAAUUUUAGUGGUGGUAAUAGUGGAUCUAGGGAGUGAGUAUAUAUAUCAUAUAGAGAGAGAGCGGUAGCUAUGUUAUGUUCUACAUAGAUUAUUGAUGGUUGAUGUUUGUACUUAAAUUAUUUCAGUAUUUUUUAUGGAUUGAUAUCAUUUUUAUUAUUAUAAUGUGAGAUCGUUUGUUUUAUUUAUACUCCAUUUGGUUCUUAAUUUCUUGCGUUUUCUUUUUUUCUAGAAAUUUCUUGCGUUUUCUCAGCAGCCAAACAACAGUAGCAGCAUAUUCUCUGGGACCACUGUCUUGGUCUUGCUUCGCUCUGAAGUUUGAUCAGACCUUUAAGACAAAUUUACCCUUCAAACUCCAUUAAUGCUUGGUAAAUAUCCUCUCUAAUUCUAUUCUCCAA
This 767-nucleotide long non-coding RNA is filed under the name Durio zibethinus. RNAcentral's name for it is "long non-coding RNA (DZIB_LNC000452)". The record is from RNAcentral. Lineage: Eukaryota; Viridiplantae; Streptophyta; Magnoliopsida; Malvales; Malvaceae.